RNAcentral lists this non-coding RNA (22 nucleotides) under Arabidopsis thaliana (thale cress). The record is from RNAcentral. Lineage: Eukaryota; Viridiplantae; Streptophyta; Magnoliopsida; Brassicales; Brassicaceae.
CUCAGAUGUCUAGUUGAGUGGG